GGCCCUACGGGGUGCAGCAGGCGCGAAAACUCCGCAAUGUUCGAAAGAGCGACGGGGGGACCCCAAGUGCGCCAUCUUUAUGGUGGUGCUUUUUUAGAGUGUAAAUAGCUUUAAGAAUAAGAGUUGGGUAAGACCGGUGCCAGCCGCCGCGGUAACACCGGCAGCUCGAGUGGUAACCAUUUUUAUUGGGCCUAAAGCGUCCGUAGCCGGUCCAAAAAGUCUUUGGUUAAAUCCUGUAGCUUAACUAUAGGUCUUCCGAAGAUACUGUUGGACUCGGGGCUGAGAGAGGUUGGAGGUACUCUUGGAGUAGGAGUGAAAUCCUGUAAUUCCAAGGGGACCACCAGUGGCGAAGGCGUCCAACCAGAGCGGACCCGACGGUGAAGGACGAAAGCCAGGGGAGCGAACGGGAUUAGAUACCCCGGUAGUCCUGGCCGUAAACGCUGUGGGCUAGGUGUUGCAUGCUCUAUGAGGGCAUGCAGUGCCGUAGAGAAGUUGAUAAGCCUACCGCCUGGGAAGUAUUAUCGCAAGGUAGAAACUUAAAGGAAUUGGCGGGGGAGCAC
This 560-nucleotide ribosomal RNA is filed under the name uncultured marine benthic group E euryarchaeote. Its description in RNAcentral is "bacterial SSU rRNA". It matches the Rfam family "Archaeal small subunit ribosomal RNA", at positions 319 to 879 of the family's 1478-position model. Lineage: Archaea; Methanobacteriati; Candidatus Hydrothermarchaeota. The record is from RNAcentral.